Molecule: ribosomal RNA, 492 nt
Filed under: uncultured bacterium
Lineage: Bacteria
Description: partial 16S ribosomal RNA
Rfam family: Bacterial small subunit ribosomal RNA
Source: RNAcentral
AGUGAACGCUGGCGGUAGGCCUAACACAUGCAAGUCGAACGGCAGCACAGUAAGAGCUUGCUCUUACGGGUGGCGAGUGGCGGACGGGUGAGGAAUACAUCGGAAUCUACUUUUUCGUAGGGGAUAACGUAGGGAAACUUACGCUAAUACCGCAUACGACCUACGGGUGAAAGCAGGGGAUCUUCGGACCUUGCGCGAUUGAAUGAGCCGAUGUCGGAUUAGCUAGUUGGCGGGGUAAAGGCCCACCAAGGCGACGAUCCGUAGCUGGUCUGAGAGGAUGAUCAGCCACACUGGAACUGAGACACGGUCCAGACUCCUACGGGAGGCAGCAGUGGGGAAUAUUGGACAAUGGGCGCAAGCCUGAUCCAGCCAUACCGCGUGGGUGAAGAAGGCCUUCGGGUUUUAAAGCCCUUUUGUUGGGAAAGAAAAGCAGCAGGUUAAUACCCCGCUGUUCUGACGGUACCCAAAGAAUAAGCACCGGCUAACUUCGUG